Molecule: ribosomal RNA, 497 nt
Filed under: uncultured bacterium
Lineage: Bacteria
Description: partial 16S ribosomal RNA
Rfam family: Bacterial small subunit ribosomal RNA
Source: RNAcentral
GAUGAACGCUGGCGGCGUGCCUAAUACAUGCAAGUCGAGCGAACGGACGAGAAGCUUGCUUCUCUGAUGUUAGCGGCGGACGGGUGAGUAACACGUGGAUAACCUACCUAUAAGACUGGGAUAACUUCGGGAAACCGGAGCUAAUACCGGAUAAUAUUUUGAACCGCAUGGUUCAAAAGUGAAAGACGGUCUUGCUGUCACUUAUAGAUGGAUCCGCGCUGCAUUAGCUAGUUGGUAAGGUAACGGCUUACCAAGGCAACGAUGCAUAGCCGACCUGAGAGGAUGAUCGGCCACACUGGAACUGAGACACGGUCCAGACUCCUACGGGAGGCAGCAGUAGGGAAUCUUGCGCAAUGGGCGAAAGCCUGACGGAGCAACGCCGCGUGAGUGAUGAAGGUCUUCGGAUCGUAAAACUCUGUUAUUAGGGAAGAAAAUAUGUGUAAGUAACUGUGCACAUCUUGACGGUACCUAAUCAGAAAGCCACGGCUAACUACGUG